GGACUGCAGCUCAGUGGUAGAGCACUUGCCUAGCACGUAUGAAGCCCUGGGUUCCAUCCUCAGCACCA
Molecule: transfer RNA, 68 nt
Filed under: Marmota monax (woodchuck)
Lineage: Eukaryota; Metazoa; Chordata; Mammalia; Rodentia; Sciuridae
Description: tRNA.Ala
Rfam family: tRNA (bases 5-65)
About the family: Transfer RNA (tRNA) molecules are approximately 80 nucleotides in length. Their secondary structure includes four short double-helical elements and three loops (D, anti-codon, and T loops).
Source: RNAcentral